AGCAGCGGCGCCUCCCUGCCUGGUUCUCGCCGACAGCUGCUGCGGGAGAGGCCGCGACCCGCGCCACCUCGGCGUCCUGCUAGUCCGUGCCUCCAGGGCGGCUUGGCCUGGGAACGCAGAGGCCCACGACGCCCUCCCCAACCUCCAAAGUGGGAAGCUGGCCCGACCGAAGCUCACAGAGGCCUCGGCAUUCAGGCCUUGCCAGGUGGCCCCUGAACCCUGUCGUGCUGUUCGGGGGACUCCAUACCCUCCUCUCAACCCUCAACAGCAGGAAUGCCUCUCCAGUGGUGUGUGCCGGGCUCUGUGCACCCGGGGUUGAGUCCCCGAUGCCGGCACUAGCGGACCCUGGACGUGGAGAAAGUGCAGUCUGUCGACUUGGACCCUGUGCUGUGGGCAUUUUAGCCCCCUACAUCCACUCCCCUCCCAUUGACUGCUUUAUGUGUAAAAUGGCUUGUUGGAGGGUCCAGUCCUAGAACUGCUAAGCCGAGAAGCUUCCAAUCUUGUCUCUGGAAUCUUCCUUCCACUCCAAGCACCAGGGGCAUCUUUGGGCAUAAAUGCAACCACUGGACCUUACUAUGGAGGGCUGCACAGGCACUCCUGGGGUGGCUUUUACUCUGGCGUCUGUAGCAGGAAAUCACACCUUCCCCCCUCCCUGCAUGCCCCCUCCCUGCAUGCCCCCUCCCUGCAUGCUAGCAAUUUUCCGAGUUUUGUUCUCAUCUCUUAUGAGAUUUUCUGCAUGCUCUUGUCCCCAGGCAGGGCCUGUGGUGCCAAAAAAUGCUGCCUCUGGCACCUGAUGGUCUGAGCCUGAAUCUUGUCUGGCUUUUACUAGUUGUGUGACUUUGGCAAAUAACAUAACCUCUCCUAGCCUCAGCUUCCCCAUCUGUGAAAUGUGAGAAAAAGAAUUCCUGCUUCUUGGGAAGUGGAUGAGAUAAUGAAGGUGAGAGGCUUGGUCCUGAGUCCUGUGGACAGAGGGGCUGAAUGCUACCGGUGAUAGAUGCGAGGUUGUUCUUUAAGAGAGUUUGCUCUUGUUUUUGUUUCCUUCUUUCUCCACGGUGGUCAUGUUGGUUGAGUCUAGGAGGAACAGAUCCCUCUUCUGAUUUAGUUUAUCUGCCCUCAUCCCCUGCUUAGGUGCUAGGAAGUUUGGUCCAGGAAAGCUGGCCAGGCUGGUGGGUGGGGCACACCAGGGCCUGGAAGUCAGAAAGUUCUUAGUGAAACUUGGGGGGUACAAAACACACUUUUUAUAAUCUUAUUUUCCCUUCUCUAAAAAGAUUUUUUUUUUUUCAAUUUCCCUUUAGUUUUGACAUCUUGGGGAGCAUAUAUUCCCACUGGCACAGUGGAAUCGGGAAUCAGAGAGAGAAGAGAUUUGGGGCAGGAUUCACCAGGAAGAGAAGUAGUAGUCACUGUUCCUGAAUAUCACUUUACUUUUCAGCUUCCAGGUGCCCCAUCAAAGAAAGUCAGCAGAAUUGGCUGAAUUUUCUUUGUGUUUCAGUCCAAACUACUGUGCUUCCUCUAAUAUAAAUUUUUCUCCCUAGUGCAAAACGCUUUGAUGAAUUUGUUACAUGGGUUCAUGCUGAACAUAAUGAGCAAAUGUCUGCAGCCACUAUUAUACAGAGGACCAUAACAAUUCUUCAGGCAGUGGUUUUUUUUUUUUUCCAAAUCUUAAUACCAAGUAAAACUAGGGGGAGUAUUCUUUUCCUUCAUAGCUCUUAUUGCAACAGUAUUGAAAUUAAAUAUUUGUGUAAUGAUAGAUUAAAACCUGUUGCUCCUACCAGUUGUAAGCUUCUUGAGAACAGGGCUGAGCGUCUCUUGGCAACAACUAUAGGACCCUCCCCAGAGUGGGCAAGGGAUUUAGUUAUGCUGAUUGACUGGGUACAGCUUACAUGCCCACUCCUGCACCAAUCACUUUGUGGGGGAAGAGUGGCUCAGGCCUUUGCUUGGCCAGGGUCAGAGGCUGCACUCCAGAGUCACCAUGCUCCUCCAAGAGUCCUGGCAUCUAUUUGGAACAAGUUCUCUGAGUUGGUGGAGGGAAAGGGUUGGUUUCCAAAGAAGACUCUGCCCUGUGAAAUUUCUCAGGGGGCUGCUGAUGGUAUGGGUAGCAGCAAGUCCAGUCCAAUGUGAUGGGGAGGGAUUGGCUCUGUUGGGAGAGUCUGAAGUCAUUCAGAAUUGUUCCUGCACUCAUCUGUGGGGAGAGGUGAAGCACUGCCAGGAAGUCGGAGGGGAAGCUCGGAGUCUUGAUUACCUGUAGGAAUGGAUCCACAAAGUAAGGAAGGGAAUGUAUUUGUACUCCCUUUUUUAUCUGUGAGAGGGAGGAAGUUUGAGGCUUUAAAAGUAGAGAGGACCCCCUAGGAUCAGGUAAGAUAUUAAUGUAUUUGAGCAUUAUUCUAUUGCACUGUGCAAGUAUUGGUAGUCAAAGCAAAAUGAGAAGCUAUUUGGGCAUCUGAAGUAUUGUUUUCAUUGUAGUCCUCUCAGCAUCUGCAUGGAAUACUGGACAGAACCCUGUCCUGAGACCCUCCUAGAAUGGCCUCUCAGGUCGAAAAAAAUGUAGAGAGCACCUGUUUUGUGCCUGUGAUUGCAGAGAUACAGAGAUAGGUGGCUCCUGUUCAUUUGGGUUGAGUCAAGGAGGCAGACACAGAAAUCCAUUACAUAGUGGGAGCACAGUGUUGGAGAGAAAUCUGCAGCCUGCUGUUGAAGUGUCUUGAGUGACACACAGAAGAGUUGGCUGUAACAGUUUUUCUACCACCUGGGGACCCCUCCCUAGGAAAAUAUAAUGUGCAAAGGAUCUGAAGUGAGAUAAACUGUGGUAUGCUUGAUAAUAAAGGAAGCCAGUGUGGCUUCAUAAUAGCACUGGAACAGAUGAGAAGGCAGGGCAACAGAUAGGGGAAGAGGAAGUUGGAGAAUCAAGUGGGAACCAGAUCCCACAGGGCUCCAUAAUCUUUGAUAGGAGGGUGGGAUGUUAUCCUGAAAGCAAAGAGGAGCAGAUGAAGGGUUUGAACAGUGAGAGACCUGGCCAGAUGUGUAUCUUAAAAGCCCACUCUGCCUGGAGAGAGGAGGAUGGAUUUGAGGUGAGAUGGAAGCAUAUUAUUGCAACAUCAUUUGCUGAGCUGCCCAGCUUCUCUAUCUAUCUCUUCAUUUCUCCAUCAAUCCAUCAGCCUUUGUCCACUCAUCUGCCAUGAAUGCAGGAGGCCACAGCUUGGCAUGGGAAAUAUGAAGGUGAGACAUUAUGGCCCCUGCCUUUCUGGAGCUGCCCCUCGAAGACCUCAGUUUACCCAUCUGUAGGCCUAGUGAGUCUCAUGAUCACAAGCUCUGCAGCCAGUGCCUUGGUCUCCCUCCAGAUGUCUCCCUCCUGCACAGGACACAGAGUGCUCAGGGCCUGAAGGGGCACAGCCACUAUCACAGAUAGACAAUUCGGGGAGCCAGUACAGUGAACAACCCUGUCGGAAGCUUUUAAAGUAAUUGCCCCUGCCCGUACUGGCUGACUGGCUGAUGGCAGCCUAUUAGCCCUGAGUUGGAAAUUCUGAAUUGUUUCAUGAUAAUUGAACACAGGAUUGGAGGCUGGGAGGGAGUGGCCCAUGAAAUAUUUAUGUUUCCUCAGUGUUGUGGGCUGCUACCCUUUAGCCUGGGAACCCUGGAAGUACGGGGCUGGUGGCUUCACAGUGACUGCCAUUGUUCUUGGGGGUCUUUGGGUCACCUCCCUGUGGGGAGAUAGGAGUGCAUUUUGUGCAGUUGUAAGGGUGGUUGGGGGCCAGCACUGCUAUAGCCUCAUUCCAUGCUGUGCACCCUGGCACUCCAGUCUCACUCUAGUACCAGAGAGGGAACAGAACCUGGGGACUUGAGAUGCUCUAUGUUUAUGCCUGGCCCCAAUUCUCCCUGUACUUAAGGCUCCCAGGAGUCAGCCUGGGUGCGAGCGUCAGUUCUGCCCCCUUAGCAUUGUGAGCCUUGUUUUCUUAGCCAUUCAAUGAGGGAUGCAGAGUUCUUGCCUCGCAGGGUUGUGAGGGACAGAGAUGCCCAUAUGCAGAGGGCCUGGCCCUCAGCCACAGCUCACGAGACCAUCCCAAGCAGCCCUUGGUAGAUCCUAGGGUCAGGCCAGGGCUGGCUAUGGGAGCCCCUAUGGGAUCCCCGGGGCUUUGUGGUCUCUUUUCCUCUGCAGAUGCUUUGUAGUAGUCUGUGUUUUUCCCUUCUCUGCAAAUCCUAAAUAAAUAUUCAUGCUAGGAGGGUCUGUGCCAGCCUGGCAGGCAUUUCUGGUGGGUGGGGUGCCCUAGAGUCUUGGUAAGGAACCCCAUAUGCCCACCAGCCCAGGCCUUUGCUCAUUAGAUUGAGGCUCCGCCAUGGCAGAGGAAACUGGUGGGUGGUUCCUGCCUGGCUGCCUGACCUUGGAAGCUGCUCAGGGGCAGCAGGAGAAGGACCCUUGCUGUCUGAGCUCUUGGCUUGCCAGCCUACCAGACAGCCCAGUGAGGGGCCCACUUUUCUUACCUUGGAAGGUGGUAUUUAUUCAUCUUGCAGAUGAGGAAAAUGGAGGCCAUACUUCAGUCGUUCAUUCAACAGGCAAUUAUUAAGUACCCACUCUAUGUGCUGGCAUUGGGUGGGGUGCUGGGGACUCAGGAGUGAUGGACAAUGCUGAUGCAGUCCCUCACAGGGGAUCAGAUCCAAAGAUGAAUGCAUCUUUAGAAGUGGUGCCGGUUUGGAGCCAUGGGAGCACAGAACAAGAAGAGCAAAACUAACCUGGUGGUCAGGGCAGACUUCCUGGAGGAAGUGACCUACUGGCUGAGCACUGAGGGUAGCAGGGGUUUACCCUGAAGCUGGGAUGGGGGCAGGGCCAUGACAAAGCUAGUGAAGGGCAGGUGCAUCUGGAUGUUCUUAUCUACCUGGGGCUAGGUGCACAACACCCUGUGUGCCCUCCUGCCCCUGCUACCAUGAGGAGCCUAAAGAGGCACCAAGAAGGGUUUUCACGGCUCCAAGGUGCUGGGUUCCUUGCUGAUCGUCCUCUCUGGGCUUUAUUUUCUCACCUAAAAAAUUAGAAGUGAGGUUAGUUCUAGCAACAGGGCACAUUUUUCAGAUGAAACUUUACUAAGACCCCUAAACAGAGGAAUGAAGUGAUGGCCUGGUUGCUGUCUGCUCUCCCCUGUAGCCCCUUCGGAUGCAACAGACACCCCCGAGGAGCUCCAGAGCUCCCUAAGCCAUAGUUUGCAAACUGUAGGAGCCCCUUUAGAGGCUUUCCAGCCCAGCCUCCAAGGGUCCUGGACCCUGGGGAUAGCCAAGGCAGCCUCCCUCUUUAUCCCUCAGGGACCUGUUUCUUGUUCCUUUUAAAUGUCCUGUUAGCCGUUUGUGAUUGAAGUCAGCAAGCAUCUAUUGAAUACCUACUGGAUGCAUGCAGAGGGGCUAACACUUUCUGAGCACCAGCUCUGUGAUAGGUCUGAACUGGGCUCAUUGUAUCAGGCUAUUUCCCCAUCACAACUGGCUGCCAGCUCAUUUUACACGAGGAACUCAAAUUGGUUGAGGCUCGCUGACAUGGCUAAAGCCCCAAAUAACAGUAAUAAUAACACCAGCUCGCAUGGAUUAGGCCCCCAGGUGUGUGUCAGGUCUUUGCAAACAUCUUCCUGUACAUUAACUCCUUUAGUUCUCAAAGUGAAUCUGUAGAGCAGGGACUGUUUCCAUCUUCAAGGAUCAAAGAAGUCAAGUUGCAGGGAGGUGAAAGUGCUGUCUGGUGUCUGGGUUGUGUCUGGGGCUGCUCCCUCCCUCCUGCCCUUUGCCGGGGAAUCAGAGGCAGCUGCAGCCACGGCCUCCAGGAUAGUGGGCUCCCCUCUGUGUUCCUACUGUAUAUGCAGGGAAACUGAGGCCCAGAGACUCACUCUCCCUGGAAUGUGUCUGCUCUCUGGGGCUCCAUCUGGCACUGACCUCCAUCUUUCUUCAUCCUGGCAUCGACUAUGAAAUGAGAACCUGGCGUCUCCCCAGAGACCUUGCCUUACUGGGGACUGUCUGCCUGUCUAGCAGCAUGAAUGAGGGCACAUUGACCUCGACUGGUUGGGCAGAACCAUCCUGGUGAGUCCAGGACACAGGGUGGGGUCAGCCCCUCCCAUGGAGGCUGGAGCUGGGGGUGAACCUGUCUCCCCUUCCCUUGCCUCCUGUUGGAUUCUAGCUCACCCUCAGCCCUCCACCUCAAGCCUUGAGUCUUCACAGGCUCCCCCACCCCCUUCUCCAAAACUCCUCAAGUGCCUGUACUUACAUGUGACUGUCUGAGUGACACGGCCUGGAUGCUAUUCUUGCCCCAGGGGGAAUGCAUGGUACUGAGGAACAAUGGUGGCAUUUCAGGCAGGGUGAAGGGACGCUGAACUUUUGGUGGAUAGAGAGACUCCUACCUUGGUAUACCUGCAGUGGGGCCUUGGGGCCACUGAGGAUGGGGGCUCCCCCUGAGCCUUGGAGGGGAAACUUGUCUGUGCACAGAGCCCAGAUCUUUGCCGCGUAGACAAACACAAAGUGAGGGGACGAGUCUUGACAAAUGUUUGCCAAGUCCCUGGCUGGCUUGGGAGUCAGGAGUGAGCUUGUUUGGCAGAACAAAGGGGAAAGCAGCCUCCAAGGGGCCAUAAAUAGCAAGGAAAAGGGAGUGGCCUGGGCCUGAAGGCUCCAUGGGACCUUGUCUCCAGGCUUGUAUCCUCUGCCAAAGCUGCCAUCAUCCUCUCCCACGUGCUUUGGGCCAGCUGGCCAGAGCUUGGACCAUGUUGGUGGUAACCUUCUUGCUCCACGAGCUGCAUCUCCCUGGGAGUCCCUGGGUGCUGGGUCACCUGAGGUGCCUGGAAGGCUGGGAGGUCAGUGUGACCUGUACAUCCCAAGGUCCCUCUUCCUGUAGGAACCAGGAAGUUUGGCUAAAGUCAACAGUGGUAAAGUUUCCUAAGAGGCAGAGCUGGUCUAGUCCUGGGACCUGGGAGCUUGUGACACCUGGAUAUACUCAGGCUAGGAGGGGUCCCAAUACUCCCGCCCCCAGAACUGGGGGGCUCAAGGGAACCUUGUUCUUUCUGCCCAUAUUCCAGACAAAUAUGGCCACCUACUUCUUCAAAGGAAGAGGGCAGGGCAGGAGGCAGAGGGUGGCAAGACCAGAUACUUUGCCUAUUUGGGCCUCAGUUUCUUUGCUGUAAUGUGGCUUGGCCAGCCAGCUGCGAUCCCCCACCUUCUCAUCCCCUGUUACUGUGAGCAUCAGGUGAGGGCCCGCAUCAGAGAAGGCUGCCUAGAGGAGGUACCUUUUGCACUGGGGCUCGAGACCCUGGCAAGACUUCCUUCAGAGCGGGUGAGAGGGUGUUUAGGAGAAUGCACAGAUAGGCAAGCAUGUGGAGCUGGGGAAGAUGGGCUGUUUGGGGACCUGCAAGUUCAGUUGAGUUCAGGGUGGCAGAGCCCAGAGUGCUCAUGGGGGUGUGAUGAGGUACCUUUCCCACCCCCUGGGGACCAUCUCAGGCAAGGAUGUCUGAGCUGGGAAAUGGCCUGAGCAGGGCUCUGCUCUAGGAAGGUGGGGAGGGGGUAAGAGGUGGCUGAGCUGGUCUGGAUGAGAGACCAGUGGAGGACUACCAAGGGCCCCUGCCUUUCUCCUUUGAGCUGCGAAGGAGGUGUCCUGGCAGGGGGAACUCAGGAAAGGCCAAAUUCCUGAGUUCACUGAUGAUCUGGCCUACUUAGCAAGGCUGGGCCUCCUUUUUUUCUAAGUGGAGAUGGUCCAGAUCCCUAGGCUCUGGCCCCUGGACCCCCCACCGGGGAUGUGGCCUGAGCUCUCCAUGCCUCAGUCUGUGUCUCCAUGCUUCCCACUGGCUCUCCAUGCCCUGUGUCCAGUAUUCUUCAAGGCGCCCACUCCAUGGGCCCUCAGGAAGAGGAGAGCUGGCCAGGAGACUUGGUAGAGAAAGUCCGGGUGCUUUCCCCGUCCUGGGCUCUGUCACAGGCCCACCCAGAAUUACUGUGGAACUGUCACCAUUUGUCCAGGCUUCCCUGGCUGUGUACCUUGCUUUAGAGGUGAGCUUGGGGCCUCAGUGCCUAUGAUGGGAAGGACUCACCCCAGGUCAGGUACUUUCUUUCAUUCCAGCAGCCUUGUGGGGUUCCUACCUGGCCAAGGGUCCAUCUGGGCCUCUAGCAUGGCAAUGGAGAAACCCUCUUUAGCCACCCACACCCUAGCCUACAGAGAGGGGGAAGAGGGGCUGCCAGUGUGUGUGGGAACUGCUUUAUGGAAAGGCUGGUGACUGGCCCUCCCUCCUGGAGGACAGAGGAAUGCAGGCUGGGGCCUUUGUGGAGCUUGUUGCUGUGUUCUGGGUCCAUACGUCUGGGUUCCCUGCUUCCUGCUCACGCUUCUAUUUUGCCUUCCACUCUCUAGUGGGCCUGGGAUGGGUGAAGAGUUGUCCCCACUUCCCCAGCCACCUUCAUUUAGGUGUGGACCCUUUCACCAGCCUGUGUCUGAGGCUGGAUCUCUUGAGUUCAUUCUCCGUUCCCCAUUUUGAUUUUAUUUUUAAAUUUGUUUUACUGUAUGUACUUAAGAAAAGGCCAUCUUAAAGCCUUUUGGGAGGAAGUGGGUCUAAACAUGUAAACAUAAUUAAAUCAUAAACACAAACCACUUAAAAAAAGACAUUUUGAAGAAAUGUGAAUAGUUUAAAAAUGGGGCAGAUGCUCAGCUUCCUGACAGGUACCUGAGUUUUUAUAGCAGUUUUAUUUGUGAUGGCCAAAAGCUGGAAACAACUAAAAUGUCCUACAAUAGGUGAAUGGUUAAACAAACUGGUGCAUCCAUACCAUGGAACACUACCCAGAAAUAAAAUGGAACAAACAGUUGAUUUCUUUUGGCUGAGUCUCAAGGGCAUUAUGUUGAGUGAAAAAAAGCCAAUCUCAAAAGGACACUUACUGUCUGACUUCAUUUAUGUAACACCCUCAAAAUGACGAACAUUUCAAUGUGGAAAACAGAUUGGGCCAGGAGCUGGGGCUGGUGGGGAGAGGGGGUGAGCGUGCCUGUCCGGAGAGCAGUGGGGAGAUCUUGGUGUUGGUGGGUUGAUUCAGUGUCUGGAUUUCGGUGGUGAUCUCAUGAGUUUAUGUAUGUGAUAAAAUGACAUGGAACUAUAUGCACACUUUAUACCAAUCAAUUGCCUGGUUUGGCUAUUGUGCUAAUAAGGUAUAGUCACUAGGAAAAACUAGGUGAAUCUAUAUUAUUUCAGAUAAGGAAAUAUGGGGCAACUCCCGUGAAUUUAUAUUAUUUCAAAAUAAAACGUUUAAAACUGUAAAUAAAUAGGCAGUUUGAGGUUCUGCUUGGGGGGCGGCGGGCAUGCCCUCAUGGCACACCAGGAGCUGUCUCCGGACCUGAGAAAGGCAGGAGGGCGAGGGGCUAGGGCGAUGGAAGGGGGAGAUCAAGAGUGGCGAGGCAGAGGGAGAGCGCCCAGAGCCUCGCUGGAGCCCAUCCCGGCAUGGCUGCUGGGACCAGCAGGCCGAUCGCGGGCCGCGAGCACAUCUCACAGAACGUGGGCGCAGAGGGCCCGAACUGUGCCCGGCGAGGAGGACGCGUGUGGGUUUUGACUAUAAGGGUUCUGACCACUUGGGGACAGCGAGUCGACGCAGAGGCACGGAGCUCAGAGGAACACUCGGGGUGUCCUCGCGGCCUCACUCUUCCGCACGAGGUGCCGGGUGGCCCAGCAGCAGGUGCUCCCGCCCAGGUCCAGAGCCGCGCGUCGCAGAGCCCGCUGUGCCACCGGAGACCCGUGGAGCCGCCAGGGCCGCACUCGGACGUCUGUCCCCAGCCUCGCGGUUGACAGCAGCGCUGGUGUAGGCGCGCGCAGGCGGUGCCAGCUGAGAUGAGAUGUGGAAGCUGGAGGGGUCUGGCAUCCCAGACAGGGGUGAGAAUCCCAAAGGCACAGCAGUGAUAUUUGGCCCCUGGAAAGUGAAGGGCACCCCCGUAACCUGGUGGGUCCUGGUGCUGAUGGUUGUUGGCAAC
Molecule: non-coding RNA, 9934 nt
Organism: Chlorocebus sabaeus (green monkey)
Lineage: Eukaryota; Metazoa; Chordata; Mammalia; Primates; Cercopithecidae
Source: RefSeq, a predicted model, not a curated record